Molecule: ribosomal RNA, 436 nt
Filed under: uncultured bacterium
Lineage: Bacteria
Description: bacterial SSU rRNA
Rfam family: Bacterial small subunit ribosomal RNA
Source: RNAcentral
AUCCAUGGCUCAGAUUGAACGCUGGCGGCAGGCCUAACACAUGCAAGUCGAGCGGCAGCACGGGUACUUGUACCUGGUGGCGAGCGGCGGACGGGUGAGUAAUGCCUAGGAAUCUGCCUAGUAGUGGGGGAUAACGUCCGGAAACGGGCGCUAAUACCGCAUACGUCCUACGGGAGAAAGUGGGGGAUCUUCGGACCUCACGCUAUUAGAUGAGCCUAGGUCGGAUUAGCUAGUUGGUGAGGUAAUGGCUCACCAAGGCGACGAUCCGUAACUGGUCUGAGAGGAUGAUCAGUCACACUGGAACUGAGACACGGUCCAGACUCCUACGGGAGGCAGCAGUGGGGAAUAUUGGACAAUGGGCGAAAGCCUGAUCCAGCCAUGCCGCGUGUGUGAAGAAGGUCUUCGGAUUGUAAAGCACUUUAAGUUGGGAGGAAGG